GCAUCGGUCGUCCAGUGGUAGGACACCGCAUUCGUAAUGCGGAGACGAGGUUUCGAUUCCCUCUCGGUGCU
Molecule: transfer RNA, 71 nt
Filed under: Bremerella cremea
Lineage: Bacteria; Pseudomonadati; Planctomycetota; Planctomycetia; Pirellulales; Pirellulaceae
Description: Blastopirellula cremea tRNA-Thr
Rfam family: tRNA
About the family: Transfer RNA (tRNA) molecules are approximately 80 nucleotides in length. Their secondary structure includes four short double-helical elements and three loops (D, anti-codon, and T loops).
Source: RNAcentral